CAUACGAUGUUGAAACACCGGUUCCCGUACGUAUCACCGAAGUUAAGCAACGUCGAGUCUGGUCAGUACCUAGAUGAGUGACCAUUUGAGAAUAUUAGAUGCUGUAA
Non-coding RNA from Acanthosepion pharaonis, 107 nucleotides. The record is from the annotation of a GenBank genome assembly. NCBI's taxonomy places the organism in Eukaryota, Metazoa, Mollusca, Cephalopoda, Sepiida, Sepiidae.